RNAcentral lists this transfer RNA (72 nucleotides) under Marmota monax (woodchuck). Its description in RNAcentral is "tRNA.Thr". Lineage: Eukaryota; Metazoa; Chordata; Mammalia; Rodentia; Sciuridae. The record is from RNAcentral.
UUCUUGUAGCUCAGUGGUAGAGUACUUGAUUAGUAUGGGAGAGGCCCUGGCUUUGAUCCCCAGCACAGGAAA